ACAAGCGGUGGAUGAUGUGGAUUAAUUCGAUGCAACGCGAAAACCUUACCUACCCUUGACAUGUCCGGAAUCCUGCAGAGAUGCGGGAGUGCCCGAAAGGGAAUCGGAACACAGGUGCUGCAUGGCUGUCGUCAGCUCGUGUCGUGAGAUGUUGGGUUAAGUCCCGCAACGAGCGCAACCCUUAUCAUUAGUUGCUACGCAAGGGCACUCUAAUGAGACUGCCGGUGACAAACCGGAGGAAGGUGGGGAUGACGUCAAGUCCUCAUGGCCUUUAUGACCAGGGCUACACACGUACUACAAUGGCCGGUACAAAGGGCAGCGACACAGCGAUGUGAAGCGAAUCCCGAAAAGCCGGUCUCAGUCCGGAUUGGAGUCUGCAACUCGACUCCAUGAAGUUGGAAUCGCUAGUAAUCGCGGAUCAGCAUGUCACGGUGAAUACGUUCCCGGGUCUU
RNAcentral lists this ribosomal RNA (452 nucleotides) under uncultured Thiobacillus sp. RNAcentral's name for it is "bacterial SSU rRNA". It matches the Rfam family "Bacterial small subunit ribosomal RNA", at positions 925 to 1382 of the family's 1533-position model. The record is from RNAcentral. Lineage: Bacteria; Pseudomonadati; Pseudomonadota; Betaproteobacteria; Nitrosomonadales; Thiobacillaceae.